Molecule: long non-coding RNA, 618 nt
Organism: Numida meleagris (helmeted guineafowl)
Lineage: Eukaryota; Metazoa; Chordata; Aves; Galliformes; Numididae
Exons: 3
Source: RefSeq, a predicted model, not a curated record
UUUUCAUGGUCUUGGAACUAAAAGUUGACACAGAUGUAAAACACUCCAGUUCCAUCUGCCGUUGUCUACAUUGCUUUAACCCUGCUAAAUGUAACAUCAUGAGUUUUCAGAGAUCUUAUAACUUCUUGUGACAGAGAGGCAUCAUCAAGGUAUGUGAUUAAUCUGAUGUGUGAUUAUCAGGUGGAACAUCUAUACAGUACAAACCAGGAAUACAUUGUGUAAAUAUCAGACUAGACGUGAUUUGCUUGUUCAUAAUUGUUUUUAUAUGUGUGCGUGCAUAUCUAUUUAUCUAUCUAUAUAUACACAUGGCAAACUACACUGGCUGCAGAACGUGCCAGCAUUUUUUUGUCUCUCACAUCAAUGUUGGCUUUGUCAAGGCUGCGACAUGAGUGCUCCCCAUGUUCCUGACCCAGAUCAGGGGCCUGACCAAAGCGCAGAGCGCUGUUCUUAGGGGCAGCCUGUCCAGUUCCCUUCACAAGGUUGCAAACAGGGAACUGAGGGCAGCGUACUGCUUGCUCAGCACUACCAGUCUGUGGGGAUACGGCUGGAGCCCGGCACUGGGAGUUGGACGUCCCUGUCAGUUAUUCCCGUUCUGUGCAUCAAACGGAUUUAGCAUCA